UAACACGUAGGUAACCUGCCCAUGUGUCCGGGAUAACUGCUGGAAACGGUAGCUAAAACCGGAUAGGUAUACAGAGCGCAUGCUCAGUAUAUUAAAGCGCCCUUCAAGGCGUGAACAUGGAUGGACCUGCGGCGCAUUGGCUAGUUGGUGAGGUAACGGCCCACCAAGGCGAUGAUGCGUAGCCGGCCUGAGAGGGUAAACGGCCACAUUGGGACUGAGACACGGCCCAA
Molecule: ribosomal RNA, 230 nt
Filed under: uncultured bacterium
Lineage: Bacteria
Description: partial 16S ribosomal RNA
Rfam family: Bacterial small subunit ribosomal RNA
Source: RNAcentral